UUAUCCACUCAUCAGGUAUGCAACUUAUGGAAUGAAACUGCCUACAUGCAUGCAACUAUGCUAAAUGCUAGCUACUUUCUAUCUACACUACGAUUUCCUAUUGAUUUGGUCAAACAAGCAAACAAUUUUCACUCAAACAAAAUAGAGAAUUAGGGCCAAAACAAAGAAAUAGUGCAAUGUGAUCAAAAUCCAAAGAAUUAAUUCAAAUUUCAAAAUUAGGCAACUUGCAAGCAAACACCAAACAAGAGGUGGAGACAUAGAAUUGAGCAAUCGAACCCCUCACGGGAUGUGUUUACACUCUAAUUGCUCAAUGUUUAGGGUAUAAUCACUCAAUUCUCCUCUAAUCAUGUUCUCUAGGAUUUGUUCUUUAUCUAACAAUCAACAAGUACUUAAUGCAUGAAUGCAAAUAUCAUAAGGUCUUUGAAGGGUUGUAAUAGGAUUAGAAUUAAGGUAGGAUAGAUGAGUAUAGUCAAGUGGACUAAUACAUUAAAUCCAUGAUUAGCUUAAGUAUCCACCUAACCUAUUUCAACCUAAUCACUACAAUACAAUUCUAACUACCCACUACUUUCUUUUUACCUACAUUCAUGCAUCUUUACUCAUUUAAUUCACAUUUGCAUUCUUUAUUCAAUUUUUUUCAUUUUCUUUGGGAUAACUUUUGUCCCUUUUUUGUU
Non-coding RNA from Arachis ipaensis, 671 nucleotides. The record is from RefSeq and is a predicted model, not a curated record. Lineage: Eukaryota; Viridiplantae; Streptophyta; Magnoliopsida; Fabales; Fabaceae.